GCUCAAUGCAAGGAGGUGAGGGCGGAGGUGGCGAGAAGUAGUGAUACACCGGUAGCGGAGGUGAGUAUUGAGGUGGCGGUGGAGAAUAAUAAUGCAUGGGUGGUGGCGGUGACGGUGGUGGUGGUGAUGGAGGAGGGGGGGAUGGCGGAGGCGGCGAAGGUGGCGGUGGCGGGGGAGAAUAAACCGGCGGAGGUGGAGACGGAGGAGGCGGCGAAGGUGGCGGCGGCGGGGGAGAAUAAAGUGGCGGAGGUGGAGACGGAGGAGGCGGCGAAGGUGGAGACGGAGGAGGCGGCGAAGGUGGCGGCGGCGGGGGAGAAUAAACCGGCGGAGGUGGAGACGGAGGAGGUGGGGAUGGAGGCGGCGGCGGAGGGAGAGCCGGCACGAACGGUUUGCAACGGAAAACACUACAGUCCACCGGGUGCGCCAAGAACGACUUGCAUUGCUUCUCCGACCGCUGCAACGGGCGCUCGGGCAGGCAGUUCCUCUUGUCGUCGAAUGACUGCACCUUCAAGCAGGACGGCGGCUCGCCGGUGAAGAAAUUAUAUGAGAAGGUGAAGUUUUGAAGGUGCGGUAGCACGCAGAUAGAUUCUGGAAUGCGCCCCGACAACAAGUUGUGCGCGACAUCCAGCUGUUCCAGGCUGAC
Molecule: long non-coding RNA, 643 nt
Filed under: Musa acuminata (dwarf banana)
Lineage: Eukaryota; Viridiplantae; Streptophyta; Magnoliopsida; Zingiberales; Musaceae
Description: long non-coding RNA (MACU_LNC003037)
Source: RNAcentral